UACGAAGGGGGCUAGCGUUGCUCGGAAUCACUGGGCGUAAAGCGUACGUAGGCGGCUUACUAAGUCAGGGGUGAAAUCCUGGAGCUCAACUCCAGAACUGCCUUUGAUACUGGUGAGCUUGAGUUCGGGAGAGGUGAGUGGAACUGCGAGUGUAGAGGUGAAAUUCGUAGAUAUUCGCAAGAACACCAGUGGCGAAGGCGGCUCACUGGCCCGAUACUGACGCUGAGGCACGAAAGCGUGGGGAGCAAACAGG
Molecule: ribosomal RNA, 253 nt
Filed under: uncultured bacterium
Lineage: Bacteria
Description: partial 16S ribosomal RNA
Rfam family: Bacterial small subunit ribosomal RNA
Source: RNAcentral